CACGUGACUCCAAUCCAAACCCACUUCCCACGUAAUCCAUCAUCAUCUUCAGUUCUUCACUACACAAAUUCUGUGGAGACCCACUGACCAAUUUCCCUCACAAAUCAUCUACAGAUGGCUUCAUCUACUCUUAUCUGUGACACAGAGCAAUGGAAGGACUUGAAGGCCCAUGUCGACGACAUUAAAAAGACACAUUCACGUGAAUUGAUGAGCGACACUGAGCGAUGCAACUCCAUGAUGGUUGAAUUUGAUGGGAUACUAUUGGACUACUUGGUACUCACGGCAAUGAGCUACCCUCGAAACAAUGGAUAAGCUAUUCAAAUUGGCAGAGGUGCGUUGAACAAUUUACUUUCUUUUUCUUCUGGGGUAAUGUCAGAUCAUGUAUCCAUUCCAUUCUACCAAACCAAACCAAACAUAGCCAAAUGCCCUUAUCUUUUCCAUUCUUAUCAUUUGCAUCGAUGAGGAACUCUAAUCUCUGUAUUUUUCCUUCAUUAUCUAGAAGAAAGUUGGAAUUCUUCUUGGUAAA
This is a long non-coding RNA of Rhododendron vialii, 526 nucleotides long. RefSeq lists it as uncharacterized. NCBI's taxonomy places the organism in Eukaryota, Viridiplantae, Streptophyta, Magnoliopsida, Ericales, Ericaceae. The transcript is spliced from 4 exons. The record is from RefSeq and is a predicted model, not a curated record.